CGUUCACGUGUCCGCGCUGUCGCCUGUGAAGAUGACCCCGCACGCGAGCCUCGACGACGGCGCGUAUCCUGCGAAGGUCGAGGACAUUCCUGGACGCCCGUGACUGUCAACCACGCAACGUCGAACCGUGUUUAAUAUUAUAUGAUGACCACUGGCGACGGCCUUCCGAUGCGCCAGGACGCAGAGAACGUAUUGUACGAGUACUUUUACUCUGUUUGUUCGCAGUGUUCCAACUAUGUGGGUAUCAUUGUUUAAAAGUUCGUUUGCAAGUGGAAUUGAAGUGUACAAUUUAUCACUGACCAUUGUACGUCCCAUGUUUAAAUAUCUUCUACUUAGAUCUAGAACAACUCUUCUCAAUCCAAAUUCUUUUCCAUUAACUUGACCAAACGGUUCGUUUCGGGGACGACGUCAACGGGUCCGUCUCCGGCGGGUUAGUGCACAGUAAGCGUACGAUUUAACACGCUGCGGUGCUGUGCAUAAUGUGCGCACUCGACCGCCGCACACGGCACUGGCCGACGUACUGACGUACGCGAUUUUCAACUCCAACACGGGCCGACGGUUCGAACGGAUUUAUGCGCCGCAGAAGAAUAUCGUAAUCCGUAUAUACACAGUUGUACGUACGAUGUGCGCACGCAUGAAUAAGUGUACGUCAUCAACUACACCCUCGGCCGGAGGCGGAUUUAAUUUUUUUACGGAUAUAUGCACUAGAAAAUCGCUUUAAGUGUAUAAUAGUAUUCUGAUAGGUUUGAAAUUUUAAACAGUUUUUUUCUCGCUUCAGAUCAUUUAGCGGACUCCGAAAAACGUCCACCGAAUCCUAACGAAAACGCGUACAAUGAUGGUUAUUUACGGAUGGACCGUAAUUAGUAAGACCGUUGUUUGGACGGUUAAUAUUGCUUUAUUUAUCGAAACAUGAUAAGGCACUUUUUUUUUUCUUUCGUACAAACGAUGUACCUACUUUAAUAAAGCAUUACGAAAUUUACCCGCAACUGCCUAUCGACAAGUCGGCCUCUGCUCCCGGAGCUGCGCGUUGCCGUUUUCGUGCAAUACGUAUGUACUGCAUAAAAAAAAAGUCAGCGCACGGACGUAAUCCGAGCGAACGCGUUACGCAGCCCACCCGGUACCUCGAUUAUCGUUAUGAUACGCUCUCUAGCCUUCCGUGCCUUUUCGUCGACUUCAACCGAAUGCCUUCGAUAUAGUACGUUUAAUACACGCUCGCGUUCGAGUGCACGUGCUUUCAUGGCGUUCCGGUGCGUACACUGUUUAUUUUUAUUCGUGCCGCGUACCGGAUAUAUAAUACAUGGGCGAGCAUCAAUCGGUUUAAGUGAACGCGCGUAACGCCGAUGUAUAAUAACGAUCCGAGAAAAUCGCUAACGUUUGAUUGGCCGGUUAUAUUUUAAAUGAUACAUUUUUUUUUUUUCGCUCUCCUACUCGUCCAUUCGCUUUCUCUCUCACUCUCUCUUUCUCUCUCUCUCUCUCUCUCUCUCUCUCUCUCUCUCUCUCUCUCUAGAUCUCGUACCGUACGCGACUUUCAUUUCAUACGACCCUUUUAGGUCGAUUAGAGUUUAAAAAUUAAUAUUUUCAAACCACUAAUAUACGAGUUGCGCGAUUUUCGUGUGCAUUACACGUGUUCGUACGAAAAGUAAAAAUAUCAACGCGGCGCGUUCUAAAAAUACAACAACCAACAAUUGUUGUACGCAGCAGAGUAUGUGUGCAUACAUACACAAGGUUCGAGAGCACGUAAACAUUGCGUUGGCAUUUUAAACGAACGAGUAUUAAACGAAUGCGUUGAUGGAUUGAGUUCGAACUGCAAAACCGCAAAGUUUAUACUGCGGUCCGCAAACGUUUGUCUCGUACGGAACACCGGGAUUCGCGAUUUAAUUACGAGUAGUGCUCGCGAUUGUAAAACCGCCCGAAAACGAUCGCGAGUGAAUUUAACACGAUCCGCGACGCGUACACGGAAAUAUUGUGUAAGCCGUAGCGUGGAGUGAUUCAUUGAGAUCGAGACGCGCUCGUAAUGCAUUAACUUAGAACAGGGUCUUAGCCGAUCAUCUCGUAUGUGAGAGGUGAACCUUGAUUGUUGUUUAUGAAUUCGUUUCAAACGAUCUCGUACCGAUUUAAACAAUCGUCAACACUUUUACAUACGGGCCCACGUACAUCACACGUGACUGCGAUGAAUUCAUCGAGCACCAAAAAUACACUCUUCAUAAUAUCCUACAAUUAAUGUGUACCAAAGUGUAUAAUUCGUUCGUAUACAUGUGUGUGUACAACAUCCGUGCAACAUCGAGCGUGUGCGAUAAAUAAUGUGUUCCUUCCCGCCGUCCACGACGCGAUGCUUUCAUUGCUGUACUGCACGCGUAUACGUUAUACCCACGAACACGACUCGGACUCGGUAAGUCGCAGUGAAUAAUAGAUAUUUUUCUGGCUUAUGGACCCUGCGCUUCGCCAAAUGCGAUUGACACAAUAACUCUCGGGCGUACACACCGUGUGUCGCGUCAAAGGCUUUGGGAGGUGUACGAGACGAGAAAUCCUGUUUGGCCGCGAACCAAAUGUUUUAAGUAUAGAAAAAUGUUAACUACACCCGCGCGGCAACCUCACGUGAUGUCGCAUCUCACGCGCGGUCGUGCCCAGCAGAAAUCCAAUUCGUUUCGGCGCACAUCGGACACAUCUGUAUCAACGUUAACGAUGAGAAAAAAAUUCUCCCGAGGUACGGACAAAACAACCUAUCACCAUAGUGUUUUUGACACGUGUACAAUAUACGACGUUUUCGUACGAAUUUUAUCUGUCCCACGUGCCGACUCAUAACGUCACCAAUACAUUAUUGUACGUCCCGCAAUUGAAUUAUCGAUGUCAAUUAUUCGCCGUCCUGUAUUAACAGUUAUUUUAUCACCUUCAGAUGUCGUCGGGAUGUAAAGCCAAGACGUGUAAAUGAUCGCGUACGUGCACCAACCAAUACGGUGCUGCUCGUCGCCCCGUUUCAUAAUUUAUAUCGUUCGUACAAUCGACUCUUCGCGGGCAUGACGUCUCCUAACGUUUUACGAUGUCGACGCGCGUACGCCACUACUACGGUUUAAAAUGUACGAUGUUUGCGCCUGCGAAACUGUUCCGUUCUAAUAACGUCUUCUUCGUUGGACGUGCGCCGCGAACGGUCGAAGGACUUCUGCGGCAAAACUCGUGGUUUGCGCAACGUUCAAAAGUCGCCGUCGCAACGAACACCACGUGAGAACCUAAACGCACGUAAAGUUUACACAAACGCGACCGGACGGUGCGCAAAUCGUUUUCGGGCCGUGCGCAAGUGUACGAUUCGGAAAACCGAAAAAAAUCACUUCCGAGUUGACGCCCAAUGUUGAGAUUGUUUCGACUACACAAUAAUACUCGCGGUACGCGUUCUCGUCGUUUACUGUUUACGCGUAGGUGUUUCCUAGUUUUUUCCAGACGCUGUUCUUACACGAUACGAUGAUCGUUUCGUGCAACCGUUCUUCGCGCGAGAAAAACUGAUCGUGGAAAAAGUGAAACUGCACGAAAACGUUUGUCUUCUCGUGCGGGGUAACUUGGAAGGUACGAACAACACGCUCGAGCGUGUGAUAAAACGAUUGGAAAUGCGAGCGACAGAACUCGAGUUGACCAAAGUUGAUCUACCCUAAUCGGUGCGAACCGUACCGACAGGCCAUACGUGCACGAUUGAUAUGCGUAGUUUGCGAACCGUUUCGGCACGUUAUGCUCUCCCUUCCGGCUCGCAGAAAAAAGAAAAGAAAACUUUUCGCUGUCCACGCGUUUUGAUUAAAUGCGUGUAAAAUGUAAAUGUACUUCACGGGCGAACGCGAGAAUUUCGACGGUUUAAAUAUUUCUAACGACCGCUCGUGUUCGAGUCCGCGCCGCGCAUAGGUAUAUUCGUAUAACACUACAGCCCAGGCCCAUGCGCAGGAAUCUUUCAAAGGGGAGGUGAGAUAUCCAUGAUCAAAAUUAUCAAGAUCGAAAAACGAUAAAUGUCAACAAAUGUCCGAACGGAUUGAACAGCUGACUGGUUAGUGAAAAUGAGUUCUGUCGAUUGCUGCAUUUACAGCGGUAGUCGACAGUAGAUGAAAAAGGUGCGAACAUUUAAAAGAGAAAAGUGCGUUAAAUCGAAAAAAUUGACACUGUUAAAACAAAAAUAGACUAUCAUGUAAUAAUUUUCAAAACAGUUUGACUUUUAUAGAACGAGGACUAGGUAUAUCCUUAGUAAAAAUGUACGAUGUAAGAUCCUCAUUGCGGGAGGUUUAGAUCCUUCAAACCCCUCCCCCUUGCGCACUGACCUGAUACAGCCAUAUGUUGCCUUAUUACAAUCGUCGACGAAAUCAUCGUUCUGUUUCAGACAUUAAUAUAUUGUAACCGACUUCCGAGUCAAUAUUAUUAUAUAUAUAUUAUAUUGCGCCCAUGUAACUGCGCGUGAUGUUAUUUUUAGGAAUAAUUUUAUGAUUUCAUGUACUGUUAAAAAUACGUGUGUUUUUAAUUAUUUUUUUCGGUACGUCUAAGCUGCAACAGUGUCCGACGGUAGGCAUAACUCAUUGCGCGCAUAUGGCACGAUAAUGCGCAUAAUAAUAAUACUAUCAUAGUUUUAUCGGAUCUAUAAUUUAUGGAACGGAUGAACGGAGAGAGUUUCACUGACUCCUGCACGUAUCGACCCGGUGACACUGGUGUAAUACGCAACUAUUAUGUCCUGGGUAAUAAUAUGCAACAUUUCAUCGAUAACGUUACGUGCGUUUUUCUCGAUUCAUUACUAUAUUUUGUGCAAGUAUACUGCAAUAGUUGCAUAUAAAUAUAUGUACUGAAUACCAACAGGUGACUGGAUUUGUAAUCGUCUUUUGCAACGAUUUUUUUUUAUUUCUAAUAAUUUUUUCCUAUUGUGUUUGUAGGUACAGAAAUAAUAAUUAUUUUUU
Sipha flava (yellow sugarcane aphid) is the source of this 4913-nucleotide long non-coding RNA. RefSeq lists it as uncharacterized. The transcript is spliced from 3 exons. NCBI's taxonomy places the organism in Eukaryota, Metazoa, Arthropoda, Insecta, Hemiptera, Aphididae. The record is from RefSeq and is a predicted model, not a curated record.